AUUGAACGCUGGCGGCAGGCCUAACACAUGCAAGUCGAGCGGAUGAAGGGAGCUUGCUCCUGGAUUCAGCGGCGGACGGGUGAGUAAUGCCUAGGAAUCUGCCUGGUAGUGGGGGAUAACGUCCGGAAACGGGCGCUAAUACCGCAUACGUCCUGAGGGAGAAAGUGGGGGAUCUUCGGACCUCACGCUAUCAGAUGAGCCUAGGUCGGAUUAGCUAGUUGGUGGGGUAAAGGCCUACCAAGGCGACGAUCCGUAACUGGUCUGAGAGGAUGAUCAGUCACACUGGAACUGAGACACGGUCCAGACUCCUACGGGAGGCAGCAGUAGGGAAUAUUGGACAAAGGGCGAAAGCCUGACGCAGCCAUGCCGCGUGUGUGAUGAAGGUCUUCGGAUCGUAAAGCUCUGUAAGUUGGGAGGAAGAGCAGUAAGAGAAAACAUUCAUGUUUUGACGGUACCAACAGAAAAAGCACCGGCUAACUACGUG
This 484-nucleotide ribosomal RNA is filed under the name uncultured bacterium. RNAcentral describes it as "partial 16S ribosomal RNA". It matches the Rfam family "Bacterial small subunit ribosomal RNA", at positions 30 to 507 of the family's 1533-position model. The record is from RNAcentral.